This 932-nucleotide ribosomal RNA is filed under the name Pezizomycetes sp. genotype 41. RNAcentral's name for it is "eukaryotic LSU rRNA". The stretch from base 420 to 932 matches the Rfam family "Eukaryotic large subunit ribosomal RNA", at positions 1 to 518 of the family's 3401-position model. The record is from RNAcentral. Lineage: Eukaryota; Fungi; Ascomycota; Pezizomycetes.
GUGUACCUAUUACUUGUUGCUUCCCUGGGGUAACUCAGGGAAGGCAUACAUAUACUCUGUUUAUUGUAGUCAGUCUGAAUUUGUUUAUUUAUAAACGUUAAAACUUUCAACAACGGAUCUCUUGGUUCUCGCAUCGAUGAAGAACGCAGCGAAAUGCGAUAAGUAGUGUGAAUUGCAGAAUUCAGUGAAUCAUCGAAUCUUUGAACGCACAUUGCGCCCUCUGGUAUUCCGGGGGGCAUGCCUGUUCGAGCGUCAUCAAAACUACUCAAGCUAAGGUUUACCUUCUGCUUGGUCUUGGAAUUGGAGGCUUAUGUCUCCUUUCUGAAAUACAGUGGCGAAUUGACUGUGCUGUAAACGUAGUAACUUUACCCGUUGAAAGCAUGUUCACAUUCCGCCAAAACCCCCUCUAUUAUCUAGUUUGACCUCGGAUCAGGUAGGGAUACCCGCUGAACUUAAGCAUAUCAAUAAGCGGAGGAAAAGAAACCAACAGGGAUUGCCUUAGUAACUGCGAGUGAAGCGGCAAAAGCUCAAAUUUGAAAUCUGAGGCCUCACAGCCUCCGAAUUGUAAUUUCACGAUACGUUUUCGACUGAAGGCUCUGCUUUAAGUUCCUUGGAACAGGACGUCACAGAGGGUGAGAAUCCCGUGAUAGGUGGAGCCUGAUGCAUAUGAUACGUAUUCAACGAGUCGAGUUGUUUGGGAAUGCAGCUCAAAAUGGGAGGUAAAUUUCUUCUAAAGCUAAAUAUUGGCGAGAGACCGAUAGCGCACAAGUAGAGUGAUCGAAAGAUGAAAAGCACUUUGAAAAGAGAGUUAAAAAGUACGUGAAAUUGUUGAAAGGGAAGCGCUUGAGACCAGACUCAAUCUGUAGUGAUCAAUUUGGCUUCUGUCAGAUGCACUUGCUACUUAUUGGGACAGCAUCGGUUUUGGCGGUGGG